Xenia sp. Carnegie-2017 is the source of this 1703-nucleotide long non-coding RNA. RefSeq lists it as uncharacterized. NCBI's taxonomy places the organism in Eukaryota, Metazoa, Cnidaria, Anthozoa, Malacalcyonacea, Xeniidae. The transcript is spliced from 3 exons. The record is from RefSeq and is a predicted model, not a curated record.
CGAAUCAGAAUACAACACGUUCGUGAAACUUGGGCCAUAGUCUAAGACUAAGAACGUGCCAUUUGAACGUGAAAGUCUGUAGUUGCACGAAGAAUAGUUAGCCGAAGUCGAAAUUAUUCCAAGGUGAAAUAACUCUUGGAGUGCUUUGAAAAAUUGUUCAGACAUGGACAUUCUUCUUUUAAACGACAAUUAGUCCUCAAAUGAGAUUGAGAAACAACGAACAAAUGUUGGUGUAUUUAUCAUGAUCGUAGACUCCACAAUUAAAGAAAGUGGUUAUUGUUCACAGCGGUUGAAGAGAAUUGUGGCUGUUGUCGACCAAUUCCCCGACGCUCAUCUAAAUAUAAGAACAAAAUACAAUUCUGUAAUUUGGUUGAAAUUUUUCUUCCCUUGAACUACAUUACUAGUUAAUAAAAUGUUCAAUAAACCUUCUGAUCAAGAAUGGACAAUAUACGUACUUUAAUGAAAUCCUCUGAACAAUGAUCAAGAAUGAACAGCAUACUUUAAUGAAGUCCUCUGAAGAAUUCUCAAGAAUGAACAAUUUAUUUUCAUGAAGACUUCUGAACGAUGGUCAAGAAUGGGCAGUGUACUUUGAUGAAAUCCUCUGAACAAUGAUCAAGAAUGAACAAUUUACUUUAAUGAAGACCUCUGAACGAUGAUCAAGAAUGGGCAGUGUACUUUGAUGAAAUCCUCUGAACAAUGAUCAAGAAUGAACAAUAUACUUUAAUGAACUCUUCUGAACAAUGAUCAAGAAUGAACAAUAUACUUUAAUGAACUCUUCUGAACAAUGAUCAAGAAUGAACAAUAUACUUUAAUGAACUCUUCUGAACAAUGAUCAAGAAUGGACAAUAUACUUUGAUGAAAUUGAAAAAUACGCGACUUCUAAUGCCCUAAAGACUUCAUCUACAAAGAAUGCAAACGCUAAACACUCUUCUGGAGCAAUGCAUCCAUCAGCCUAACGCCUGUUUCCAUGGAAAAGUCAAUAUUAUGAACUUUUCUAAAACAUUUUCCUGGGAGUUUUCCUGCUAACAUCACGACUGGUCAAUCAAUCGCAAUGAUGGAUAAAACCACGCCGCUAUCAAAUGCCCAAAUGUCAACAUUAUUUAAUUGAAAAUUUUUGUAAUAAAAACAUGGAAUUUCUUUAACAUGAAAAUGAAAAACCUAAAAAUCCUAAUUUUCCGACUGGCUGUCGAUAUUUCCGAUUUAAUGCCGUAGACGACAUGCACAGUUGCAAGAAAUGGCCAAUCUUGUUUCUGUGCUUGCCGUCGUCGACAUAAAAGCGGUGAUGUUUGUCAGGUAGCCUGAAAAUUGGAUACGAUGGUUUCACCAUCAACGUUCUGAAUUUUUCAAAAAAUUAUUUUGGGCUUUUUUGUGGCUGUCUAUGCUCAACAUCCGAUCGUUUCAUCUUCACAAUUGGCAUGAGAUUUGUCAUUCAUCGUAGUCUGUCGUCGAACUUCCAACGAUUCGUCGAAAACCGUAAGUGUAAUAAUAAUAAACCUUUUAUUUAGUUAGGCCUGUUAACAGGCCAAAUCUCUAAUAUAAUUGGGGCAAUAGCCACAACAAAUCCUGGUGUUCAGUAUAUUCCACUGUAAGGCUAUUUUUUUAAUGCAGCAAUGCAAAUAAGUAUAUUUAAAGAAAUUUACAUCUGCAUUUUCAAAAAUAGUCUUGAUUAAGAGGUAAUAAAAGUGUUCUUUUGGUUAAAAUAA